This is an RNA transcript of Malania oleifera, 2148 nucleotides long. It is a transcript of the gene named heterogeneous nuclear ribonucleoprotein 1-like, with no coding region annotated. NCBI's taxonomy places the organism in Eukaryota, Viridiplantae, Streptophyta, Magnoliopsida, Santalales, Ximeniaceae. The record is from RefSeq and is a predicted model, not a curated record. The transcript has 5 exons.
GAAGUGUAAAUAUAGAAUCCUUGUCUCCAACGGUCCAACCGCAUUAGGAUUCUGUAAGGGUAAAGAGGUAAUUUCAUCAUCAAACGAGAGAGAUGUAUAAAUUGCCUACAUAUAGAGUUCCAGACGUCCAUUUCGCUGUGUUUCUUCUUCUUCUUCUUCUUCCUCUUCUUCUUCAAUUUGGAGUUCCCAAUUCUCAUCUCCUUUCUUUCUUUAUUUCUUUCUUCUUCUUUUUCUUCUUCUUCUUUGAUUGGUUUCUCUGAACAGAUUGAUCAUGGAAUCCGAAAAUGGAAAAUUGUUCGUCGGCGGCGUCUCAAGGGAGACGAACGAAGAGGCUUUGAAGGCAUACUUCGCCAAGUUUGGGGAGGUGGAGCAGACAUUGGUCAUGAGGGACAGGAAUACGGGACAUGGAAGAGGGUUUGGCUUCGUCACCUUCUCAGACCCCUCUGUCACGGAGAAAGUCCUUCAAGAAAAGCACCGCAUUCAAGGAAGAACGGUAGACGUGAAACGAGCAAGACCUAAAAAUGAGAGGAUUCAAGGCCAGCACCACAGCCUCCACCAUCAUCAUAAUAAUGGGUUUAGUGGGAAUACUCAUAAUGGCUUUACUAAUAAUCAGUUUACAACAAAGAAAAUAUUUGUUGGUGGGUUACCCUCCAGUCUAACGAAGGAAGAGUUCAGAAGCUAUUUUGAGAGUUUCGGUAACAUUACGGAUGUGGUUGUGAUAUAUGACAGAGAAAGCCACAGACCAAGGGGUUUUGGGUUCAUUACUUUUGAUUCAGAGGAAGCUGUGGACAAUGUGUUGCAGAAAAGAGUCCAUGAAUUGAACAAUAAACUUGUAGAGGUAAGGAGGGCUGAGCCUAAGGAUAGGAUUAAUAGGCAGAUGGCCAAUGACUUGGGCUAUGGAAGGGGGUUUUGGUUUGGUAGUUUUGGAAUUUAUUCACCUUAUGCUUCUCCUUCCAGUGUUUACCCUGCUGGUGCUCUGCCUUAUGGGAAUACCACUGCUGCAAUUUGUUAUGGAUUGAACCCUUAUGGAGUAGGGAAUUCCACCAUUGGGUAUGAUGGAGUUGGUUAUGGAGGGUUCUCGGCUGUGCCUCCUAGAGGUUUUUGGGAUGGCUUCCAUCGUAGUCAGGGUACUGUGCCUUAUGGAAACUCUGUGUAUUAUCCCACAUACAUGGAUGGUGGGGCCUAUAUGUGUAGUUGGGCUAGUUGGGUCCCUAAUGGAGACAAUGGCAGUCACAGUAGUUCUGGGAUUCUGCGUAAUUUGAAUAAGGAUGAUGGUGGUGGUGCUGAGGUUUUAGCUGUUGCAAGCCCGCCUGAUGCUGUGGCCUCUACAUUCAGCAGAUCCUCGAAUGACAAUGGUGAUGGUAUUCACACUGACGUUUCUGCAACUACAAACCAUGCUCAGAUUAAUGAUAUAUCAAGUUCGCAAGAUAGCAACAAUGUGGAAAAUCGAAGUGGCAACAAUGGGGAAAAUCAAAGCAGCAAUGAAGUGGAAAAUCAAAGGGAUGACAAUGUGGAAAAUCAAAGUGGCAACAAUGGGGAAAAUCAAAGCAGCAAUGAUGUGGAAAAUCAAAAGGAUGACAAUGUGGAAAAUCAAAGUGGCAACAAUGGGGAAAAUCAAAGCAGCAAUGAUGUGGAAAAUCAAAGGGACAACAAUGUGGAAAAUCAAAGUGUCUCUGAGGAACAAUCUACACCUUGAAAUUCUUGUUGACUCCACCAUGUAAAUUGGUUUCAGCUUGAACAUUGUAAAGAUUGCACCUAUUUCUUUCCUUUUGUAAGGUUGAAUUUUCUACAGAUUCCAUCUAUUUCUUUCCUUUUGUAAGUAUACGCUAGAAACAGAGAACAUUAUGGAAUGCAAAAUCAAAUGCUUCUUUGCGGUGCCUAAAUGAGACAAUUCACUGUGUGAAACUUGAAAAUAACGGGAGAUGUCGCUACUCAGCCAGAAUGCGGAUGCAGUACAUAGGAGCAGCAAACAAGAUUGUAUAAUUAAAGGCUGAUGACACCAACUAAUCUGUUGACAAUUUUUUUCUUGGAAAUCAAUUUGUUGGGUAUUAUAUGCUGGAUUAGAUGGUUACGUUCAAUAAUGUUAAUUUUUCUUGUAGCUAAUGUUGAUUUCAAUAAUGUUAAUUUCACUUACUGUUACCUCUCAAA